CAAAGCCAGGUCAGCAACAGAGGACACACCAGUGGACAGACCAUAGGUUAGGACCAGGUCCAGGGACACACCAGUGGACAGGCCAUAGGUUAGGACCAGGUCCAGGGUGGGUCCUCUGGUGUGAGUCGACUGUGUUACAUGCUGUUUAAAAUCUAUACUGUUUAAAAGGUUUCAAACUACUAGCGUAGGAAUCAUCACUGUUGUUGAUAUGCAAGU
Molecule: long non-coding RNA, 216 nt
Organism: Melanotaenia boesemani (Boeseman's rainbowfish)
Lineage: Eukaryota; Metazoa; Chordata; Actinopteri; Atheriniformes; Melanotaeniidae
Exons: 2
Source: RefSeq, a predicted model, not a curated record